RNAcentral lists this ribosomal RNA (30 nucleotides) under Lignincola laevis. Its description in RNAcentral is "partial 28S ribosomal RNA". Lineage: Eukaryota; Fungi; Ascomycota; Sordariomycetes; Microascales; Halosphaeriaceae. RNAcentral also lists the same sequence under 1 other name. The record is from RNAcentral.
UAGGGUUACCCGCUGAACUUAAGCAUAUCA